Molecule: non-coding RNA, 342 nt
Organism: Miniopterus natalensis
Lineage: Eukaryota; Metazoa; Chordata; Mammalia; Chiroptera; Miniopteridae
Source: RefSeq, a predicted model, not a curated record
CUCGAAUGCCAUCACACGAGCCUUGUACAUGUCUUCCCUUUGUCCCUUGAGGAUGGUAACGGAUAUAUUUACCUACCAUAGCGCCCCCGAAGGAAAACCGCCUCCAGGCAGCGACGCGGAUGAUCCCAGCGUCCAGGUGUAAUGGCUUCUAGAGCCUUGCAAGGGGAGACUUCCAUCCAGACUGUCUGAAUUACCCCAAAGUUCGGAACUCAUGGCAUCCGAGUGAGUAAGACUUUACAGAGCUGUAUUUGGAGAGUUGAUUGGAUCUGUCAGUUUUCCCGUGGAUACAGAGUCCUGGGUGGCUUGACCGAAAGUUCGCUGGAACAUAAAUAACCCCCAAGU